CUUACACAUGCAAGUCGAGGGGUAACGAUUGCUUCGGCCAUGCGACGACCGGCGCACGGGUGAGUAUCGCGUAUGUAACCUACCUUUAACUGGAAGAUAGCCCGAAGAAAUUCGGAUUAAUAUUCCAUAAUACCAUAGUUUGGCAUCAUUUUAUAGUUAAAGCUCCGGCGGUUAAAGAUGGGCAUGCGUAACAUUAGCUAGUUGGUGAGGUAACUGCUCACCAAUGCUACGAUGUUUAGGGGGUCUGAGAGGAUGGUCCCCCACACUGGUACUGAGACACGGACCAGACUCCUACGGGAGGCAGCAGUGAGGAAUAUUGGUCAAUGGGCGAAAGCCUGAACCAGCCAUGCCGCGUGAAGGAUGACGGCCCUAUGGGUUGUAAACUUCUUUUAUACGGGAAGAAACCGUCCUACGUGUAGGGCGUUGACGGUACCGUACGAAUAAGCAUCGGCUAACUCCGUGCCAGCAGCCGCGGUAAUACGGAGGAUGCAAGCGUUAUCCGGAUUUAUUGGGUUUAAAGGGUGCGUAGGCGGAAAUUUAAGUCAGUGAUGAAAUCCUGCGGCUCAACCGUAGAACUGUUAUUGAUACUGAAUUUCUUGAAUACAGUUGAGGUAGGCGGAAUGAGUAAUGUAGCGGUGAAAUGCUUAGAUAUUACUCAGAACACCGAUUGCGAAGGCAGCUUACUUAAACUGAUAUUGACGCUGAGGCACGAAAGCGUGGGGAGCGAACAGGAUU
RNAcentral lists this ribosomal RNA (735 nucleotides) under uncultured organism. RNAcentral describes it as "bacterial SSU rRNA". It matches the Rfam family "Bacterial small subunit ribosomal RNA", at positions 48 to 779 of the family's 1533-position model. The record is from RNAcentral.